UACGUAGGUGGCAAGCGUUGUCCGGAAUUACUGGGUGUAAAGGGAGCGCAGGCGGGGCAACAAGUCAGCUGUGAAAUGCAAUGGCUCAACCAUUGAACUGCAGUUGAAACUGUCGCUCUUGAGUGAAGUAGAGGUUGGCGGAAUUCCGAGUGUAGCGGUGAAAUGCGUAGAUAUCCGGAGGAACACCGGUGGCGAAGGCGGCCAACUGGGCUUUUACUGACGCUGAGGCUCGAAAGUGUGGGGAGCAAAC
This 250-nucleotide ribosomal RNA is filed under the name uncultured prokaryote. Its description in RNAcentral is "partial 16S ribosomal RNA". It matches the Rfam family "Bacterial small subunit ribosomal RNA", at positions 524 to 773 of the family's 1533-position model. The record is from RNAcentral.